RNAcentral lists this long non-coding RNA (3763 nucleotides) under Sus scrofa (pig). RNAcentral describes it as "lncRNA (ENSSSCG00000058581.1)". Lineage: Eukaryota; Metazoa; Chordata; Mammalia; Artiodactyla; Suidae. The record is from RNAcentral.
AUCUGAGAAGCAGAAGGCAGUUAAAUCCCUAGUUGUCCCAAACGUAUUUUCAAACAUUGAUUUUUAAUACUGGUUCUUCACUGACUACUUUCUGUUUUCAAUCUGCUUACAAUUAGUCAUCAAUGCUUCCCUGGAGGUAACUCAGCAAUAUAAUAUUUUCCUGAGAGAUUUUUUUUUAUUUGAUGAAAUCAGAAUUUGAGGAACUUUUUCAUGACAGAGGCUGAUAGAACUAGAACUACUCAGAAAUGUAUAGUUCAUUUUUUUAGUCUGCAGAGUUCAUAAAAUGGUGGUUCUUGGGUAUCUGGCCCUCAAUAUCUCUGUUUGUCUGUUAAGGUGGAGAUUUGGUGCCUUUCUUCUUUAACCAGACCAUCGUGAGAACAUCAGAAAUCAGGCAUCCUGUCUUCUUCACAAGAAAUAUUUUCACAUAACAUCUUUAAAGCUUCUUCAGCUUCCCUUGGCUACUCAAUCCAGUGCUUGGAAAACUCCACUGAUGGAUAAACUAUACCUCCCUCCUGGGUUCCUAAGACCAGGCUUAUUCUCUCGGGUCUGCAUUCAGGACAAAAUGAAAACAGCUGUUCAUAAUACUCAGCAUGAGAGCCCUUUCCACACUGAACCACGAUGAAGGCUUCUCAGUGUGAAUAACAUUAAUUCCCUCCUUUCAUCUUUUCCAGGAGAGUUUUCUUUUCCAGCCCCUCCCCUUCCCCCUUCUCCAGCUCCCUUCCACAUUCUCUACUUGUGAAACCCAGGACUCAUUAAGGGACUACCAACUCUAGUCUGCUUCACAGGAGCUAACAAACAUAAUUGUAAAUUGAGGAUUAGGGAAGCUGUUUUUUGGUUGUUGUUUUUUUUUUUUUUCCCAAUGAUUACUUCAUCUCCAAAUUGUAUCUACUUCACUGUUUUCCUCUUUCCUUUUCCUUCUCUUCAUUACUUGUUUCUCUUUAAGACUUUAAAUUACCACUUCCUCUCCCCACUGCCCUGAGAACUCUAAUAAUUAUGACCCUCGGGGCUCAUUUCCCUUCCUUCUUUCUACCCCAUUCUGAAUUCCUCCUUUGAGCUUUAUGUGGCAAGAGUGUUGACGUGAGUGAGCUCCUCACCAGGAGACCCGUAGGCAGACUGGGGGCUGUCUUCACAGUACCUGCAAGUUUUAAAGUUAUCAAUGUUCUUUUGUGAGUGGGAGGACCUGAGUCACAGUUGUAAAUGUCAGCUGUACUAGCUGAGGGUCAUUAAUUCCUUUCAACCUUCACAUUUGGCCAAAGAUAAAGAGAAAAAUAUUUUCUGGUUUCUCUCUCUUUUUUUCAAUACCACAGUGUUCAAAUUCCGGAUAUGAGUAGUCAAUUUCUGAGGGAGAAAAAAAAAUUAUCACUGCUGACUCUCAGCUACUGCUAAUAUUUAGCCAGAUGACAUAUUUACUGGCUACUAGACACAGAAGUCUAAUGAAAGGUGUGAUAUUUCAGAAUAAUUUUGAUAACUGCCCGAGCCUUAGUGAGCUCUUCUAAAACAAGUAAAGCCACUUCUCAAACGUAUCGUAUGGGAUGACUAAGAAUAAAUUUUUUAUUUAUUAUCUUUUUGAAAGACAAAUGAUUGGCUUAUAACUCGAAGUAGGAAUUUACUAAGGGAUAAAAAGAUCCAUAGUUUCUAAAGUGUCUAUUUUGCAACCAGAUUUUUUUUAAACCUGAACUUAAUAUGUGCUUAAAUAAAAUAAUAACAAGGCUGAACAGAUACUUGAUGGGCCAUGUAAUACACUCCCCAGUACCUAAGCAUUCACCAUGUAAUUCGGUCAUCAUGCUAGAUGCCAUUUCAAUGACUUACAACUGUCAGGUUGCCAGAACAUCGCCCAAAGACUGGUACAGCUUUGGGUCUGUCCCUUUACAGGAUGUUUAUGACUUGAUCUUAACAACUCUGCAGGGGUCCCAGUCCAGCACUCUUAUUGUGACACCGCCUUACUGCUCAGCUUCUGUGGCAUUUAGAGCACUACCUGGUUUUGAGCACACAAGGGCAUGCUUUCAUUUCUUACUGUAUCCACUGACAGACAGAAGCAACAUUAAUAUCAGAAAUGUAUUCUUAAUUAGACUUGAGGCAUGAGCCAGAUUUUAUCUUAGUCAAGCCAGUUUUUCACAUCAUCUCACACUGCAGAGAGCAAUGAGAUAAAGACGUUCAGGAGUUACCUGGUGGCUCUCUGGGUUAAGGAUCUGGCAUUGUCCCUGCUAUGGUUCUGGUGCAGGUUUGAUCCCUGGCCCCAGAACUUUGCAUGCUGAGGGCAUAGCCAAAAAAUAUAUAGAAAAGCACUCAAGUCAACACAUUUUUUAAAAAUAAAUUAAAAGAGGUUCAAAAGCCUUUCCAAGUUUCUAUUCUCAUAGGAAAUCAGAACUUCUUAAAGCCAGUAUUUAUGUUGCCUAGGGCUAUGAUCUUCAUUUCACACAUUCUUCCCAUUAUUUCUAUCUCCUUGCUGUCCUUUGUCUGUUCUGAUUUCCUCUAUCUUUUUUUUUAAAGUACUCUUCAUCUGAAGUACUCCUCUCCUCAGCCUUUGGCUUCUCAAAGAAUAAAAGACUCUCUUUUAAAUCCUAAGUAGCAUCAUGUAAAGUAUAAUGUGGAGGAGGAGAGGAUCCAGUUCUGAUAGGUCCCGUGUGGUCCAGUUUAUCACAAGGAUUCCUCCAGAAUGCCUUCUUGACAUUGUUCAUUCUAGUUCCCCAAGAAGGGCUCUAACCCUGAGACCUGGGAUUUCUCACUACAACCUCUGCAUUAGUCUAGAUUAAUGUCUAAAGCCUGUUUAAUAUUCUGGAGACUCCAGGAUGUGAAUUUCUUAUUGCUUAUGAGCCUCCUGCUUUUCUAAGCUGACACCUGUCAGGAGCACCAGUAGCCCUCACAGUAACUAAUGCAGCAGAAUAAUGGUCAGAAACAUUAUAGUAUGUAUUGGGGAGGAUAAGAAGAGAUUUGUUUCUUUUCCUCCAUUCAGAGCUUGCUUUCUCCCCCAUCCCACCCCACCCCUGCCACCACAAUGCAUUUCAGAAACUCUGCAUCUCAUUUUACAGAUAUGUAGUUUUAGGAUUUGCAAAUAUAGCUUAGGAAAUGUUCCGAGAUUGAGGCUGGUAGCAAACCAGUUUAUUUUCUGCACUGGACUUUAGGACAAGUGUGCACAGAUACAAUUCCUUCAAAGAAAGUGAAACUAACAUAGUAAAGCAAAGGGAUAAUACUUUUACACAUUAAAACAGUUGUUUGCUAUCUGUAAACCUUGAUGUAAGCAUAAUUACUACUUUUUAGAAACCUAAAACUGGAGGAAUGUGUAUUUUAGUAAAGUUUGUUUGUUGAUUUGUUUGUAUCUCUUUCUUCUCAAGACAGUAAAAAAAAUUUAAUUCUUUCAUUUGAUACUGUCCAAGGCCAUAGGCAUCAGUCAAAUUUCCAACCUUUACCAUACUCCUUUCUCUCUUAGAAUGAAAAGCCUUCUAUUCUAUCAUUAAGGAGCCUUUCUCCAUGAAAAUCUUUAUCUUCCUUUUCAAGUAGCAUGUGAGAGCUUUGAGGAGAGAGAUUUGCUCUGCACUUUGAGGGUAGGAUAGUUAAAAUAAAAGCUAUUCCUUGAAAAAGAAACCUGUGUACCUAAACUAAUAGGUCCGAAGCCUAACAAUGGGAAUUGAUUGCAGAUAAAGGUCAUGCCUUUCACACUACAAAUCCUUAUUGCCUUCUCACAUUUUUUGAAAUAAGGCUGGGAAUAAACUAAAGUAGUGAAAAUCCUCCUUGGAUGCUUCUUAUGAAUAUAGUACAGAAUCAC